This 1458-nucleotide ribosomal RNA is filed under the name uncultured Bordetella sp. RNAcentral's name for it is "partial 16S-23S ribosomal RNA intergenic spacer". It matches the Rfam family "Bacterial small subunit ribosomal RNA". The record is from RNAcentral. Lineage: Bacteria; Pseudomonadati; Pseudomonadota; Betaproteobacteria; Burkholderiales; Alcaligenaceae.
GUUCAGAUCCCGGUCGACUGAAACGCUGGCGGGAUGCUUUACACAUGCAAGUCGAACGGCAGCACGGACUUCGGUCUGGUAUAGAGUAUAAUUGUAGUGAGUACGUAUCGGAACGUGCCUAGUAGCGGGGACAACUGAUAUGAGUGUGAAGCAAUACCGCAUACGCCUCGGGGAAAGCGGGGACCUUCGGGCCUGCACUAUUAUAGAGCGGCCGAUAUCGGAUUAGUUGGUGGGCAACGGCUCACCAAGGCGACGAUCCGUGAAGCUGGUUUGAGAGGACGACCAGCCACACUGGGACUGGAGACACGGCUCCAGACUCCUACGGAGGCAGCAGGAAGGAAUUUUGGGACAAUGGGGGAAACCUUCAUCCGCGCCAUCCCAGGCGCGAUAGAAGGCCUCGGGUUGUAAAGCACUUUUGGCAGGAAAGAAUCAGCGUAUCGAUAAUACCUCGUGCAACUGACGGUACCUGCAGAAUAAGCACCGGCUAACUACGCCAGCAGCCGCGGUACGUAGGUGCAAGCGUUAAUCGAAAUACUGGCAAAAGGGGUAGGGCGGUUCGGAAAGAAAGAUGAAAUCCCAGAGCGCAGAACUUUGGGAACUGGCUUUUUUAACUGAGCCAGAGUGUGUCAGAGGAGGUGGAAUUCCGCGUGUAGCAGUGAAAUGCGUAGGAUAUGCGGAGGAACACCGAGGUAAUGCCAGCCCCCGACAACACUGACGCUCAUGCACGAAAGCGUGGGGAGCAAACAGAUUAGACAUUCUGGUAGUUCACGCCCUAAACGAUGUCAACUAGCUGUUGGGGCCUUCGGCCUUGCAGCGCAGCUUAACGCGUGAAGUUGACCGCCUGGGGAGUACGGUCGCAGAUUAAACUCGUAUGAAUUGAUUGGGACCCGCAGCCGUUGGUGUGGAUGAUGUGAUUAAUUCGAUGCAACGCGAAAAACCUGAAUACUCACCCUUGAUAAUGGAAUCCCGAAGAGAUUUGGGGAGUGCCUGCAAGAGAACCGAACACAGGUGCUGCAUGGCUGUUUCGUCAGCUCGUGUCGUGGAGAUGUUGGUUGAAGUCCCGCAACGAGCGCAACCUUGUCAUUAGUUGCUACGAAAGGGCACUCUAAUGAGACUGCCGGUGACAAACCGGAGGAAGGCUGUGAUGACGUCAAGUCCUCAUGGCCUUUAUGGGUAGGGUCACAUCGUCAUACAAUGGUCGGGACAGAGGUAUGCCAACCCGAGGGGGAGCGACCAGAAACCUGAUCGUAGUCCGAUCGCAGUUCGCAACUCGACUAAAGGUGGUUUGAAUCGCCAGUAAUCGCAUCAACAUGUCGCAGAACAUAGUUCGGACUUGUACACACCGCCUGUCACACCAUGGGAGUGUAGUUUUACCAGAAGUAGUUAGCUCAACUCGUAAGGAGGUGGCGAUUACCAAUAGGUAGGAUUCAUGACUGGGGUGGGGCCGUAACAAGGUAA